AGUGAACGCUGGCGGUAGGCCUAACACAUGCAAGUCGAACGGCAGCACAGUAAGAGCUUGCUCUUACGGGUGGCGAGUGGCGGACGGGUGAGGAAUACAUCGGACUCUACUUUUUCGUGGGGGAUAACGUAGGGAAACUUACGCUAAUACCGCAUACGACCUACGGGUGACAGCAGGCGAUCUUCGGACCUUGCGCGAUUGAAUGAGCCGAUGUCGGAUUAGCUAGUUGGCGGGGUAAAGGCCCACCAAGGCGACGAUCCUUAGCUGGUCUGAGAGGAUGAUUAGCCACACGGGAACUGAGACACAGUCCAGACUCCGACGGGAGGCAGCAGUGGGGAAUAUUGGGCGAUGGGGGCAAGCCUGAUCCAGCCAUACCGCGUGGGUGAAGAAGGCGUUAGGGUGGUAAAGCCCUUUUGUUGGGAAAGAAAAGCAGCAGGUUAAGACCCCGCUGUUCUGACGGUACCCAAAGAAUAAGCACCGGCUAACUUCGUG
This 492-nucleotide ribosomal RNA is filed under the name uncultured bacterium. RNAcentral describes it as "partial 16S ribosomal RNA". It matches the Rfam family "Bacterial small subunit ribosomal RNA", at positions 29 to 507 of the family's 1533-position model. The record is from RNAcentral.